UAGCCCUAGGUCUCUGAUUGCUUAUCAUAUUUUUCCAAGAGAAUGAUAACUCCUGAAAAGUG
This 62-nucleotide ribosomal RNA is filed under the name Succinea caduca. RNAcentral describes it as "partial 16S small subunit ribosomal RNA". Lineage: Eukaryota; Metazoa; Mollusca; Gastropoda; Stylommatophora; Succineidae. The record is from RNAcentral.